Microcebus murinus (gray mouse lemur) is the source of this 1429-nucleotide non-coding RNA. Lineage: Eukaryota; Metazoa; Chordata; Mammalia; Primates; Cheirogaleidae. The record is from RefSeq and is a predicted model, not a curated record.
UGCCGCGAAGCCCCCGUGGUAAGACAGGCGCAGUGUGUUCCCGUGCCUUUAAGCUCGGGGGUCUGCUCGCGUUGAGCGCGCGCCUCCUUUCUGACGGUGGCAUGUGUGUGGUUGGCUCAGGACCCCGAACAUCGACCGCCUGGCAGAGGAAGGCGUGAGGCUCACCCAGCACCUGGCAGCCGCCCCGCUCUGCACGCCGAGCCGCGCAGCCUUCCUCACGGGGAGGCACUCCUUCAGAUCAGAGAACGUUGCGGUGUAUGCAGACAUGCAACGGUGGUGAUGAUUGGGAACUCGCAAGACUGGGACUCCAGUUGUCUUUGGCAUGUUGCUUCUCUGCUUGAAUAUUUGAGUGGAUACCGAGGCAUGGAGGCCAGCAACGGGUACCGGGCCCUGCAGUGGAACGCGGGCUCGGGUGGGCUGCCUGAGAACGAAACCACAUUUGCAAAAAUCCUGCAGCAGCGAGGCUAUGCGACCGGCCUCAUAGGUGAGGUGACACACGAUACCGGUGUCUUCAGGUAGUUGGGAAGAUCCGUGAUCCAAAAGAACGCGUCUUCCUCCAUGGGAAAAAAAUAUCUGUGUCCUUCUCUGAAUCUGACAUUCGUGCCUGGCCACGUGAUCCCUCUUAAAUUGUCCCCAGUUUUGGGGUUUUUUUCUCAUGCAUGAGUUUUUCUUUAAAAAAUUUCAGAGUCCUAGGAGAUCACCCUCUUUCCUUCUCUGGACCUGUCCAUCUUCUUGUCCCGUUGUAUCAGAAUGUUCUUUGGAGAUUAUCUUUCUCUAAGUGGUCACCCACCAUCUCAAAAAACCCCAAAGUUGAUAAACGCUGCCUUCCUUUACGGGGCAAGUCCAGGCAUGGUCAGAAGGUCCUUCCUUGCAAAACAGGGCAUGCCUGGGGUCCCCAAGUCCACCCUCGGGCUCGACAGUUUGCUAGGAGGACUCAGCAUAUGGUUGUAGUCAUGGCUGAUUUAUUAGUAUUGCAGCCUCAGGACCAAAACCAGCAUCAGCUGUGGGCAAAAGUUCAUCGGGUGAAACCUCCUCAUGCCUCUGCCAGGCAAGUCACACGGGAUGCACCGAAUUCCUCCAGGAAUGCGUUUCGACAACACACAUGUGAAAUGCUACCGACCAGAGAAGCUUUUUGGAGAUCCAGCACCCGGGGUUGUGACGGGGGCUGGUCACAUAGGCACCCACUGCAUGGCCCCUACCAAACUUCUAGACCCCAGAAGUAAUGCACAAACCACGCUGGUUUUGCAUAUGGUUUAGCUAGGCAGUUGAUGGGACUCCCUCUUUGGAGAGCCAUUCUGAGACACCAGCCACAGGAGACCCCUGCAAGUUGGUCUUUGCAAGGAGAGCCAUCUCAGGCCCAAGGGGUCAGGUCCUUUCUUCACACUCAAACCAACUGUCCCAUCUCUUUCAGGGGACUGAAAGACCCUGC